RNAcentral lists this ribosomal RNA (524 nucleotides) under uncultured microeukaryote. RNAcentral describes it as "SSU rRNA". It matches the Rfam family "Eukaryotic small subunit ribosomal RNA", at positions 26 to 549 of the family's 1831-position model. The record is from RNAcentral.
UGGAAUAUGCUUGUUUCAAAGAUUAAGCCAUGCAUGUCUGAGCAUGCGCUGAAGUAAAGUGAAGCCGCGAAUAGCUCAUUACAACAGCCGUUGUUUCUUGGAUCUCUUCUCUACUUGGAUAACUGUGGUAAUUCUAGAGCUAAUACAUGCAAUCAAGCCUCGAUCGCAAGUGACGGGCGCAUUUAUUAGAACAAGACCAUCUGGCUUCAAGCCAUUAGUUGGUGACUCUGAAUAACUGAGCCGAUCGCACGGGCUUGUCCCGGCGACGUAUCUUUCAAGUGUCUGCCUUAUCAGGUUUCGUUGGCGGUUUAUGUGACCGCCAAGCCUGUAACGGGUAACGGAGGAUCAGGGUCUGACUCCGGAGAGGGAGCCUGAGAAACGGCUACCACUUCUAAGGAAGGCAGCAGGCGCGCAAAUUACCCAUUCUUGGCUCAAGGAGGUAGUGACGAAAAAUACCAAGGUGAGGCUCAUCGAGCUUGACCAUUGGAAUGAGAACAAUCUAAAUCCUUUAACGAGGAUCUAGU